GUCCAAUCAUGCAAGAGAAAGUCUAAAAUUUUUGUCUGAAAUACUAAUAAAUGAAAUCUUCUUUUUUUUUGUCAGUAUUUGAUUCCCAGCAGGGGUUGAUUUUACAGAUUUUAGCUCAAAGUCGUCACCUUUUGUUUUGUUUCUGACUGAAUCCAGCUGUGGCUUUUGGUGACGCCACCCCCAACAUCUGAAGAUUUAUUUAUUUGCUAAAAUUGAUCACAUCAUGCAUUUUGGACCUCAUGAGGAGCCUCCUUUGUGCAGAGGAAGAAUCAUGAACAAAGAGCACUACAGAAGCCUCAGACAAAGAGAGACAGAUCAUAAGCAACACAAAGAAACAAGUCGAUUUUGUGGAAACCUAAAUUACAAAUGUGGGAGGAGCAGACACAGACAAAAGCCGCUCUUUUUGCGGGUUCUUUGGGGAUGUUGUUCGUUCCCCUCACGGUAUUUUUCCCCUUUCAGAAUACCUCGGAGAGCAGCUUGGCGUGCCGCUCUCUGCUGCCUGCUCCCUGACCCCUCUGAAGUUACACUGAUUUCCAUGAAGUCUGGAAAAGGGAGGGGGCGCUGCAAGCUGAUCCCCCCUCUCUUUAGAGUCAACAAGGUGUUGAUCUGAACCAGCACAGACGUCCUGAUGUCACAGCGAAUACGUCCACGCAUGUGAGCGUCAUGCUGCAGCAAGACACACCUCAUUGGCCGGAUCAUCGGCUGGAUAUUAAUGUCAAAGGGCUAAGUCACUGCACACAUAAAAGUCAGAACUUAUCACCCACUGACCCAAGAGAGUCUCUAAAAGUAUUCGAGUAGAGAUGUGUUGGAUGGAUUGGGUGGAUCAUGUCCCUCUCAGGAUGAAUUAAAAUCACUUUGUUGAUCAGCCACAACUCCGGUUUCUUUUUAUUGUGUAAUACUUUUGCACGAUAACCUAGCGUCAUGUGCCAAACUAAGGUAGUGAACAUGCUGGAUAGUCUUUGUUUUACUUCAGCUCCUGCUACUGUUUUCUUCACAAAGUUUUUAUAUUGCCAAGACUUUGCUGAAACUAUUCAUUCCCUCUUCUUCAUCAUAAAAUUCAUCUUCAAGUUUUACCUUCAUGCAUUAUUCCCUGGAUUUAGAUACAGAUGGAUGAUGCACCUCAUCUACUCCCAUAAGUAAAGUGAAACCAAAACACCCUUGUAGCAGGCGCUGAAAUGCUGCACUGUCUUGGCUCGACUUAUUCUGAGCGGAGUCAUACGCUGAAACAAUCGAGCUGGUAGCCACAGUAUCGACUUCACACUCGUCACACCAAUGAAAGCAAACAGAAAACUUAUGAUAACCGUCAGAGGUACCACAUAUCUGUACAGAUUUUUGUGUUGCUUUAAAAAAUACUGAUGAUUAUGUAUCCAACGUGUUCAGGUCAUUUUCAGGGCUGCUGUCAGCAGUGGCUUGCACACCUGUAAUGAGUUUUACUUAUCAGUUAGGUGAGAUGGGUGUAGGCCGGUUGGCUUAAAACAAACUUUUUUUGAGAAAAUGGCACAUUUUAAUUUUUCACCAAUUUUUUUUUCUUUCAUUUUUUUUACCAAUACAACAAUCCUCCUCCCUGAAAAAAAAACAAACCAUGUAGGACAGAGGAUUUCCGCACACUUAGUCAGCGCAAUUUUCACUUUACAUAAACAGCAUGAUGCUAAUUUUUCAACAUUUUAGAUCUGUUUUGUAUUCACAGAUUUUCAUAUUACUCUGACCUGUUAAAGGAAAACUCCAAGACUUUCAAAAGACAGAUCAGAGACUGAAGUCAGCGUUUUGGCCCCUAAAGACAAAACAUACUGUAUUUGGCCCUGGAUGAAAUCUGCACACUCAUCACACUCCCUACAUUCCCCUCUACCACACCACAUCACUGAGCCUUAUGAUGUCUCUGAAAAUAACCUGUUGAUCUGUCCUCUCAUUCAGACGCCUCAGCUUUUACUGGAAAAGCAACAAGUGAUUGUUUUGGUUUGUCUGCCACAGUUCCCCUCUGUCUGGUUGUGAUCUGUUUGGAAUGUAAGCCGAUACUGAUUUUAAAUGUCGGAUGGAAAACAAAGUAGACAGGCAAACUUUCUCCAGGCAGCCUUGACAAGUUGUCUCUGCUCACUCCUCUCCUCACUGUGUCUGUCUAUUGUCAAGUUUAUUUACAGAACAAACAGGUAGAGAUGUGCAAAAUAUGUCCUGAUACGACUGAACAAUGCUACUUUCACAAACUGCAGAUACAAAGAUUACACUGUCCGUCUGCUUCCCUUCUGGUAUAAGUUAGAGAGAAUGUUUGGUAUCAACAGUACUUGGCCUGCUGACUGUUUGCGAGCUUCAGUGUCUCUAAAUAAUGUAACAAUCAACUGCAUUGUUGUAAAUAUUAAUGGUAUUAAAGCAUCCAGUCUAAAAUCAGACUCAAAAACAGAGAAAACAGAAAAGCUGGUGAAAAAUUCAAGCAACAAAAAUAUCCCUCUCUUGUCUGCCUACGUGGAUUUAAGAAAACAUCACCGGGGUCUUUAACUUCUGCAGAAAACAGAUGAAGGCAAUGGGAAAAAAAAUCUUUGGUUACCAGGGUAACCCAUUUCUCUGAAAACUGAGUGAGUGUAUGAUAUGCGUAGGCUACAGCCCGAAAAGUAAACCUCAGAAACUUUCUCUGAGCUGGAUACAUGCUUGUAUAAAAACAAGCAUCCCACAGAUCUAUUGAUGGGAACCGGUCUCUCCGCCUCAUUGAAUUUAAUCUUCAGAGGUAAGAACUGAGGUGAUGGGAUGUAAAGCACCAAAGUGAGAUACCGAGCAAGCUGAUAAAGAGAGUUGCUGUUCCCCUGAAUGGCCACUUGGGGCUGUUCCAAAGGUGAGUUCAUCCUUAUGACCCCAAGUGUUAAAAUACUAGCUAGAUUUUUAUUAACAAACCGCUGCAGUUCACCUUUCUGUAUUUCUAUAAUUAUAAAAUUUUCCUGAAGUGUAUGGGACUUAAUCACCCACCCAUUUCAUAAAAAUGCUCAAGUCUUAUAUUUUUUAUUUAAAACACCUUUGAGACUUUUCAAAAGUCUGACUUCAAUGAAAAAAAACUCUGUUUGUAGUGUCGUGUAAUUUAUCACUCUGCUGAAAUAAAGAGAUUUGUUUCUCUUUAUUUCAGCCUUAAAAGGCCUUAAUCUGUCAAAUAGCUCCAUCAUGGUUAAAGUCUGUUUGAUAAGUGACAAAAGGAGUUUUUUGUCACUUAUCAAACAGACUGAAAUUCAUUUUAAAGCCUUUCUUAUAUUAUACAGAAGCAAACAAUACCAUCAGUGACAAGGUUGAUGUUUUUUAUGCUGUUAUUUUGACAUCUAAAUCAGUGCAAGUGGGCAGGUGUCAGUGGGGCUGCUCAGGAAAAAAGCUCAGUUUCUGUAUUUUUGACAUUUCCUAUUCUCAAAUAUCAAUAUACUUGUCUAUCAAAGGUCACCAGGAUACGCCAUAAACAUGUAGAGGACAUGAUAAGCAGAGACUGCUUUGUCCACAGGGGUGCCAUAACUGACACAAACUGAAAGUCCCUUGUAAGAGCUUUAAAAACGACAUUUACCAGCACAUAUUAAUUGCACAAUGAAACAAAAUAAGUGUGUAUUUUACAGUUAUUGCAAAAUAUGACUAAUUGAGCAAUCAUCUUCCCUUUUCCCAUAGUGACAUCAGUCACAAAGUUUGAUGGCAGAGUCGUCUAGUCAGCAAAACUAAAGUUGUGACUCAAACAAUGAAGUUUCAGGAUAAUAAUAAAAAAUGUUAAUGCCCGAAAACAGGAACAUGCAGUUUGACGUCUUUGGAUUGACCACAGUGAUGGCAUCAUAUUGUACCCAGAAACUUCUUCAUUCACAUGAAACACACACCAGCUGCUCGUGUUAUGAAUCACAGUCUGCAUCAGUAGCGCAAUAUCAGCACAAUGUUAAUAAGAAAAAAAUUUUGAAGAGAAUAAAGAUAUUUAGGACGUCAAGCUUUCAUCUAGAAUACUAUGUCAGUUCUUGAAAUCUCAGAUGUUUUCUCCUUAAUAAAAUCUAAGUUUCACUUUGACUUGCUAGAACUGUGGGUUAGUGUUGUGUGGCCUUCAGCGUCCGACGAGAAGUACGUUAUCAUUGAGCCUUGAACAUCACCAGCUUUAGUAAGCACUGCAACUUCAGGAGGUGAAGUUUGGGUUUUGACCUCUCAUUUACCACACACUGAUUGCUUGGUGGUCUUGUGACUGGUUAUGGUCUAGAGUACAGGAAAGGUAACUUCAGUGUCCCAGCUAUGAGCCUAAUCCUGGUUUGGACCACAUUAAGGAUAUAGCAUUCAUACAAGCACACAGAUAAAUAUGGUUAUUCAUGUUGCUGUAUUUAUAAUAAAUACUGUUGUCCCCUGUUCAUGGUUACUGCAUCAUAUUACUGUGCCAUGAACCACAGGAAGUGCCAGAAGCCCCCAUUUAAUUCUUUUUCACAGGGGACUUUAUGUAUUAGAAAUGUUAAUAGACUGGCGUUGCUGAUUGGUCAGAAUUUUACAUUUUUCCUUAAGCCAAUAAAAACAUCCACGCACUCAAAUUCACAAGUUUUUUUUUUAAUCUCUGCCAUUAAAGCACUUAAUAAUUCAUUACCCUAGAAAAUGUAAUCAGUGCACCGUUACUGCUCGAGUUAAACUCAUCCAAAACACUUCGCUGAGGAAACACUCUGUCUCUGUUUGGCUCAUGUGAUUAUGUUAACCUGAUUCUGCUCUGAACAGAGACUUCAGAGGAAAUGAUCACUAGUGGUCAGAGACCGUUUUUGUCAAGCUGAGGUUUGUUUACAUAUUUGCUCUGGAGCAAACAUGAUGUACUACAUUUUCUAAGAAAUUUGACCAAAUUAUCCUCUAGAGUGCCACAGGUACUGCUGUAGCAGAGGCCACACGCUUAAAGAAGUUUCACGCUCACAUUUUAGAAAACAAAGUUUGUUGUUUAUAGUGUAUGUAUGGUAUUAUGAGCCCUAAAUAUGCUCUUCAAGGUUUUUGUGUUGUUGUUGGCUCCUGGUUGUUUUCUUUACUCUGACUGCUGGUUCUGUAUAUCUUCAGGUCUGUAAUUUUUUGACUUGUACUUGUACACUUUAUCUCCUGCUUAAUCAGGUCAGGAAAACAGAUGUUCUUAAAGACCUGUUGGGCAUACCCACCUUGAAUCUGGGCCGGGAAAACAACCAGAGGCUACAGGGGAGGUAUGUAGGUUACAAUGUGUAAAGAUACAGGAGGAGUGUCUCUCCAAAAAAAGACUUGAAACUCCUCAAAGUAUGACAGGGAGUAUCAGGGAAACUGAAGAUCCUUUACUGUAACUGUAAACUACAGUGUAAAAACACCCCAAUGAAAGAAACAGUCCUUAAUUUCAAUGUUACUAAUGGAUAAAUCUGUCAAUUAUUUUUAGGUCGACUGGUAAAUGAUUGGUAUGUGAGAUAAAUAUGGUAGACAAGCAGCAAAAAGAAAGCAGAGCAAUAUUAUUCCUGGCAUUCAAUAAAAUCAAGCUAUUUUCAUAGACUCAUAAAGCUCCAGUAAAGAGUUAAUAUUGGCUGUGAAAUGGAUUGUAAUCAACAGUGAUGCCCCUUUGACCUGUAAAAGCAAACCCAACCAUCAGUGACAAGACUAAGAAUUUAUUUUUAAAAUAGAUUUUUUUGGGCACUUCUGCUUUAAAGACAGGACAGCUGAAAGGAGACAAAAAUCAUGGGGAGAAGGGAGUGAAGAGGUGAGUACAAAACAACUACAGUGUGGCACAAAAAUAUGAAAAACGUCCCUGUUUUCUGUUGUUUUUGUCUUUUGGAAGAGAAACUUUGAUUUUCCCUCACGGCCAAAAGAACAUGUGCAGCUUUCUGAGACUGAAUCAAAAAGUGCAGAGCAGAGGAAAAGCCGAGUGAUGAAGCUGACUUUUCAGGGUAAAUUUUGAAGGAACCUCUGGGUAGGCGUGUCCUUGAAAGAGCUGAAUCACAGCUACUGGGUGGGCAUGCCCCUCAACUUUGACCUAUUAAGACAGCAGAGCCGGAGGUCAGGCCAGGUAAAUUUAUUGUAACGGGCUUUUUAUAGAACCAGAAAAACAUGUCCAGGGAUCUCAUCAACAUCUGUGUAUCACUUUGUUUUGUUUUGAAACUUUGCAGAGGUUUAAUGUGGACACCAAACAUGGUACCUUUAUUUUGAAAUCUGAACCUUUUAUACAGCUUACACUGUCAAAAAUGGUUGUGAACAAAUUUAGUUGUAUUAGUUCUUGUCAAAUGUAAAGCAUCAUGGAAAAGAUAAACAUUGGUGCCCUUAAUUUGAACCCUCUCAAUACAAAACUGAAUGACAUUGCACCACUGAAUUAACUCUGAACAAGUCCAGGCAUAGAUAAGUAAGACCUCUGGCAUAAAACUGAAUCUAACCACUCUACAUAACUUUGUUAAAUACAUCCUCAUUUGACAGAGCUGUAAAUUCUGUGUCAAAUUAAAGAAUACAAAUCCAGUCAAACACAGGAAUAAGACAGGACUAAUAAUAACGACAGUCUGAUACACAGACAUGGAAGUACAUCAGUCAUGAAACAGUAAGGCACAUUUCAUACAAACAAAAAACAAACAAAAAAAACAAAACAAAAAAAAAAACAAUACAAUUUGGCAGACAAAGAUAUGCCUAGACAUGCCUAGGCAUUGAAUAUCUGGACUGUAAUUGCAUCCACCAAACCCGACUUGCAGGUUUGUCAAUCGGAGAAAGUUAAGUUACAAAACAUCCAAAGGUCAGAUGAGUCAUUCUGGUUAACUAUCAGCUGAUGCAUCAUCGAAAAAACAACCAGGAUGACAGGAACAUGCUGGAUGUUGCUGGAGGUUAUACUGUUGUUCUGAAAAAAGAGCCGUACAGGAUCACAGUGAGGUCACUGGUAAACACUAGAAAGACCCCGGGCUGUCGAGACCUCUUUCACUUUUGGCACAUAGGGUCUCAAAGAGGUGUUUGUUGAUUAAUGUAUGAGGAUCUGACCUUAGUUUAACCUUGAUGAGUCUGAGGAACACUUGUGCAACUUUUUGGUGCCAUUUAUCAAAGAGCUGAACCAUCAAUUAAGCCCCUUCAGUCACAUAUGAACACUGAGGCCCGGUACUUUUGAGGAGUAAACAACUGUAACUGAUCCUUAAAAAACCUGACUUGAUGGCUCUCUGUGUUUACUGUAAUGUUUUCUAGGCGAGCAUGUUCCUGUAGGGUUUGUUUAAACAGCUUAAUGUAAAAAAAAAAAAAAAAAGGAAAGUUGAGGUGAAGUUCUGAGAACUUCAGGAACAACAUGUUAAGGCUUAGGUUUGUGUGUUUAAGGAUGUUUUUCUGCUCUGCUGUUUACCUCCAACACUGAUGCAUUACGUCAUUUUUUUUUUCAGCAGGAGGGGAGGACUUUAUUUUUGGCUUUUUGUUUUUUAUUAGGAUGCUGUAUUGCAGUUAAAGCUGGGUGUAAUUUGUGUUGAUGGGGUGACCUGUAUACUGCAUCAUCCUUUACAUUUAGUAAAACUACUCUAUUAGAGCUCUUACUAACCUCAUACAAUCCUAUCUUAAGAGGUCAAAUCAAGAACCAGUCAGAGAAAUAACAAAUUACAUCCUCAAAUUACUGUAGUUAAGUAGCUUUUCUGUGUGCUUGAAUUUUUUUGUUUGUGACAAAUAGCUGAGGCACCAACGGGCCUGAGGCGUGUCGCGCCGCCACCUCCAUGGACGGCCUCCCCAGCAGACCACGGCACUAUCACACUGCCUGUCAUCCCCCAUGGAAUGCUCUACAUGGCAGCCAGGACAGUUGUGAUGGCUGGUGCUUGUGACUGCCUUUAAGUGUUCUUGCUGAUUUUGAUGUAAAAAUGACAAAGUAUAGUGUGUUCUCAAAAUGUCAUGGUAUACUAUGACAAAGAUGUCAUAGUAAAUUAAGUUUAAAAAAA
Non-coding RNA from Xyrichtys novacula (pearly razorfish), 7841 nucleotides. The record is from the annotation of a GenBank genome assembly. NCBI's taxonomy places the organism in Eukaryota, Metazoa, Chordata, Actinopteri, Labriformes, Labridae.